AGGGCACCACCAGGAGUGGAGCCUGCGGCUUAAUUUGACUCAACACGGGAAAACUCACCCGGCCCGGACACUGGAAGGAUUGACAGAUUGAGAGCUCUUUCUUGAUUCAGUGGGUGGUGGUGCAUGGCCGUUCUUAGUUGGUGGAGUGAUUUGUCUGGUUAAUUCCGAUAACGAGCGAGACUCUAGCCUACUAAAUAGAUCGUCGGCUUACAAACGCCGACGAGACUUCUUAGAGGGACAGGCGGCGAUUCAGCCGCACGAAACAGAGCAAUAACAGGUCUGUGAUGCCCUUAGAUGUCCGGGGCCGCACGCGCGCUACACUGAAGUGAUCAGCGUGCUUUUUCAACCUACUCUGUCAAGAGUGGGGAACCCAAUGAACCUUCUUCGUGAUUGGGAUAGGGGAUUGUAAUUAUUCCCCUUGAACGAGGAAUUCCCAGUAAGCGCGAGUCAUAAGCUCGCGUUGAUUACGUCCCUGCCCUUUGUACACACCGCCCGUCGCUGCUACCGAUUGAAUGUUUU
RNAcentral lists this ribosomal RNA (519 nucleotides) under uncultured eukaryote. RNAcentral's name for it is "SSU rRNA". It matches the Rfam family "Eukaryotic small subunit ribosomal RNA", at positions 1161 to 1699 of the family's 1831-position model. The record is from RNAcentral.